Long non-coding RNA from Harpegnathos saltator (Jerdon's jumping ant), 634 nucleotides. RefSeq lists it as uncharacterized. Lineage: Eukaryota; Metazoa; Arthropoda; Insecta; Hymenoptera; Formicidae. The record is from RefSeq and is a predicted model, not a curated record. The transcript has 5 exons.
AGAUUUAUAUGUAGCAGUUUGUGGUCGACCCUAAACUGAUCUGUUGGCGCGGAGCUCGCGGCCACGCGGUGGAUGCAGAUGCGCUGCACCGGAGGAUCCGGUUCGGGCCGAGCGGGAUCGGCUCGAAGAUCUGUCAGCAGAACGUGGCCGAUUCCGAGUUCCUGGUAUUUCGCUCUCGCUUGUUCCAGUCCCGAAACCCGCCGGAUCGUUGGACGCUGACCAUGGACUGUCUUUGUUUGGUCCCUCUGCUCUCCUUCUCCCCUCGACUGAUCUGAGAAAAACGUACCGGCGCCGAUCGAUGCCACUAUACGUUAGCUACCCGAUAGACGCAGCGAGACGUAAAGGACGACGAAAUAAAGAAAGAAAUAUAAAGCAGAAAGUUAGUGGGAACGAGAGGGAGCCCCCAAAAUUCCACAUGUACAGGAAGAAAUUCACAGCGAGAAAAAGAACGAGCUUAGUUGCCUCUUCGCGUGUCCGAGACGACGUCGUAGCUAACGGCUGAGGCAAGAGCAAAGUUUGUCCUCCUCGGCGACAAGAUCUGCCAGAGUUCGCGGCCGCACGGCAGAUGCAAGGGACCGGAGGAUGCAGUUCCGGCGGAUGCAGAUGCAGCACCGGAGGGUCCGGUUCGGGCCAA